RNAcentral lists this ribosomal RNA (498 nucleotides) under uncultured bacterium. RNAcentral's name for it is "partial 16S ribosomal RNA". It matches the Rfam family "Bacterial small subunit ribosomal RNA", at positions 30 to 523 of the family's 1533-position model. The record is from RNAcentral.
AUUGAACGCUGGCGGCAUGCCUUACACAUGCAAGUCGAACGGUAACAGGUCUUCGGAUGCUGACGAGUGGCGAACGGGUGAGUAAUACAUCGGAACGUGCCUAGUAGUGGGGGAUAACUACUCGAAAGAGUGGCUAAUACCGCAUGAGAUCUGCGGAUGAAAGCAGGGGAUCGCAAGACCUUGUGCUACUAGAGCGGCCGAUGGCAGAUUAGGUAGUUAGUGGGAUAAAAGCUUACCAAGCCGACGAUCUGUAGCUGGUCUGAGAGGACGAUCAGCCACACUGGGACUGAGACACGGCCCAGACUCCUACGGGAGGCAGCAGUGGGGAAUUUUGGACAAUGGGCGCAAGCCUGAUCCAGCAAUGCCGCGUGCAGGAUGAAGGCCUUCGGGUUGUAAACUGCUUUUGUACGGAACGAAAAGCUCUGGGUUAAUACCCUAGGGUCAUGACGGUACCGUAAGAAUAAGCACCGGCUAACUACGUGCCAGCCGCCGCCGUAA